This 462-nucleotide ribosomal RNA is filed under the name uncultured bacterium. RNAcentral describes it as "partial 16S ribosomal RNA". It matches the Rfam family "Bacterial small subunit ribosomal RNA", at positions 32 to 507 of the family's 1533-position model. The record is from RNAcentral.
AACCAACGCUGGCGGCGUGCCUAAUACAUGCAAGUCGAACGGGGAAAGCUUUCGGGUGAGUACUAGUGGCGCACGGGUGAGGAACGCGUGGAUAAUCUGCCUUAGAGUGGGGGAUAACUAGUCGAAAGAUUAGCUAAUACCGCAUAAGACCACGAGAGCUGCGGCUUUUGAGGUCAAAGGUUUUUCGCUCUAAGAUGAGUCCGCGUAAGAUUAGCUAGUUGGUGAGGUAACGGCUCACCAAGGCGACGAUCUUUAACUGGUCUGAGAGGAUGAUCAGUCACACUGGAACUGAGACACGGUCCAGACUCCUACGGGAGGCAGCAGUAGGGAAUAUUGCACAAUGGAGGAAACUCUGAUGCAGCGACGCCGCGUGAGUGAUGAAGGCCUUCGGGUCGUAAAGCUCUGUCGCAGGGGAAUAACACAAUGAAGGUACCCUGUAAGAAAGGAUCGGCUAACUUCGUG